CAGCCGCCGCGGUAAUACGUAGGUGGCAAGCGUUGUCCGGAAUUAUUGGGCGUAAAGGGCUCGCAGGCGGUUUCUUAAGUCUGAUGUGAAAGCCCCCGGCUCAACCGGGGAGGGUCAUUGGAAACUGGGAAACUUGAGUGCAGAAGAGGAGAGUGGAAUUCCACGUGUAGCGGUGAAAUGCGUAGAGAUGUGGAGGAACACCAGUGGCGAAGGCAACUCUCUGGUCUGUAACUGACGCUGAGGAGCGAAAGCGUGGGGAGCGAACAGGAUUAGAGACCCCGGUAGUCCCUGUCUCUUAUAC
RNAcentral lists this ribosomal RNA (301 nucleotides) under uncultured bacterium. Its description in RNAcentral is "partial 16S ribosomal RNA". It matches the Rfam family "Bacterial small subunit ribosomal RNA", at positions 509 to 807 of the family's 1533-position model. The record is from RNAcentral.